This 497-nucleotide ribosomal RNA is filed under the name uncultured bacterium. RNAcentral's name for it is "partial 16S ribosomal RNA". It matches the Rfam family "Bacterial small subunit ribosomal RNA", at positions 28 to 507 of the family's 1533-position model. The record is from RNAcentral.
GAUGAACGCUGGCGGCGUGCCUAAUACAUGCAAGUCGAGCGAACGGACGAGAAGCUUGCUUCUCUGAUGUUAGCGGCGGACGGGUGAGUAACACGUGGAUAACCUACCUAUAAGACUGGGAUAACUUCGGGAAACCGGAGCUAAUACCGGAUGAUAUUUUGAACCGCAUGGUUCAAUAGUGAAAGACGGUCUUGCUGUCACUUAUAGAUGGAUCCGCGCUGCAUUAGCUAGUUGGUAAGGUAACGGCUUACCAAGGCAACGAUGCGUAGCCGACCUGAGAGGGUGAUCGGCCACACUGGAACUGAGACACGGUCCAGACUCCUACGGGAGGCAGCAGUAGGGAAUCUUCCGCAAUGGGCGAAAGCCUGACGGAGCAACGCCGCGUGAGUGAUGAAGGUCUUCGGAUCGUAAAACUCUGUUAUUAGGGAAGAACAUAUGUGUAAGUAACUAUGCACAUCUUGACGGUACCUAAUCAGAAAGCCACGGCUAACUACGUG